CCUUUCUCUAUGGAAGUCCCUUGAUUGGAGCUAAAGGCAAUGAGCUUGUGGGUUUGGUGAUUCCGAAGCUGUGUUUGGAUCAAGGGUUUUGUGAGGGAAAAAGAAAAGGAAAUGGAAAAGUUAGUGGAUCUAACAGUCUUGAUCAGUUUGAUCAUCUAACUUUUCCAUUUUGAUUUCCUUUUUCCUCGCCAAAUCCUUGAUCCAAAUACAGCCAAAGUGUGCUUGACGAACUGAUUGAGAAGGGCUUAGCACUGGUAGUGUGGUUAGCGAGGAUUUGGCAAGGCAUUCGAGAUGCCUAGAGUGUGGAUUCAGA
RNAcentral lists this long non-coding RNA (313 nucleotides) under Actinidia chinensis (golden kiwifruit). RNAcentral describes it as "long non-coding RNA (ACHI_LNC009068)". The record is from RNAcentral. Lineage: Eukaryota; Viridiplantae; Streptophyta; Magnoliopsida; Ericales; Actinidiaceae.